Molecule: long non-coding RNA, 3901 nt
Organism: Heterocephalus glaber (naked mole-rat)
Lineage: Eukaryota; Metazoa; Chordata; Mammalia; Rodentia; Bathyergidae
Source: RefSeq, a predicted model, not a curated record
UCCCGGCCCGGCUUCGGCCCAGUGCGCACCAGAGCCGGGGGUGGCCAGUGAGACGGGGACGGAGAGGGUGAGACUCCGGCAGAAGCAGCGCAGACGGAUGGGGCCAGACGGGCGGGGGGGCCUCGCUGGAAGCCUCGUGGGCGCCACAGACCCCGGGCCGAGAACCCCACAUCCCUUCUGUUUCUUUCUGGCUCCUCCUGAUGAAUGGGGAUUGCUGGCCCCGAGUUCGAGUUUCCAGAACCUGAUGUCCUAGGUGUCCCUGUGCCACCUAGGGGUGGGAGCGGGGCGUGUGCAGCAGGACCCUGGGAGGGGACCUCUGCCCCCCCCCCACACACACCCUGAAGAUGGAGGAUUCUCCUCGCUUGCUUCCAGAGCCGGGACAGAGGUGGCAUUUCGCUCUUCCUCACAGGCAGGAAACCCCUCUGUGCACCUCUAAACAGUGAGGCUUCAGGUCCCCCAGCCCUUCAGGAAGGAUGCCCAAGCCCAGAGAAAGGAGGGUGCUACGGCGUGGGGUACUACCCCCACCCGCGUGUGCAGUGGUCGUGUGGUCACAAGUGGUCGGAUUGUUGCCUGGUGGGGAGCGAGCCCUUUCGGGUCCUCAAGGUCCGUGCCUGUAGGAUGGGAGUUUGGAAGCUUCUGCCUACGCUUCAGGAGCUUCCUGGAGCAGUCCUCCCCUCACCCUGGGUGACAGGAUCGACCGGUAGCCCUACUGUGCAGAUGAGACACCAGGCACAGUGAAGUUCUACACAGGAGGCCCUGUGCCAAGGAGCCUCCGUGAGUUCUAAGGUCUCGUCCUGACCUUCUUGCUGCCGGGAAGUUCCAUGAUGUCAUCCACACGGAGGGUUCAGUACCUGCCACGAUGCCCUCUGCUAGACAGCCUGUCUGCAAGGCAGGUCAGAGGGCCAUUAGCCGUGCCUGAAUGUGACUGCAGCCAAGACAGCUGGCGCCUGCUUUCCACUGCUGGACACCAACCCUGACUGCUGUAGGCAGAGAAGCCAGGAUCCCCCUUUGCUCCUAACCAGCAUAACCCAGGAUCCAGGGCCCACCCCAGUGCACUCACUCUCUGGUGCCACUCCAGGGCUCUAUGUGUUACACCUUCCUGGAGUAUGUACCCUUUCGAACUGCGUUAGUGCCCAGGUUGCACCUGUUAGAAACUACAGGAAAGUCAUUUCCUGCCGUGGCUGUGGGGUUUAUAGCAGGGGUGGGGGAUCCUUGGGACUGCUGGCUCCACUUCCACCCCAUCUCACUUUCCUUCCUGCAGCACAGAGAAGGCUGGAUCACUUGGGAUUCCUCCCUGAAGUUUCACUUCCCCUGGCCAGAUUUAGGCUUGCUAAACCCAGCAUUUUUAGAAAAAUCAUUUUAGAAACAGCACGCUGGACAUUAUUUGAAGGCCCCAGUGAUCAAGAAAACACAGGAAUCAGUGCUCACCAAAGCCAGGACAACUACCUCCUUGUUCGAAUGGGGAAACUGAGGAAGGCCCAGAGAGGAGAAGGGACUUGCCAAGGUGUCCCAGCUAAUGAGUCACACAGCACCCGCGUCUCUGACUGUGAGACAAACCCUCUGAAAAUGUGCGCUGGUAAUGUUCAGUCCCCCACUGACCAAGAGCCCUAUCUUUGCUCAGGGGACUCGGGCGUCACAGAGCCCUGGAGACUAGGAGGAAAUGACUGCCACUUAUGUUGGGCUCCCAGGCUACAGUACAGCAGGGGGCUGACAGCUCUGGGCAGAGUGCCUGACCAGGGACCCACCCAGCGCCAAACCAAGUCAGCCACCUCCUCUGGGACUGAACAGCCCAAGACAUCCGGAUGGCAACUGCUUGUGUAGCUGCCCAAAGAGGCAGGGUGGCUCUACUCUUAUUCUGUUUCCUGCUCAGUUAGUGACAGAUGUGUGAACCGCAGGGCCAGUAGGCCACUCAGAGUCCUCAAAAUCAGCCACUUCAAGUUGGCCCUCAGUUCAAAGGUCCUGGCCUUUUGUGGUUCCUCUGACCUCUGCACUAGAAAUCUAGCUAGACUAAUACUCUGAGGCUAUCUGUCCAUCUGUCCACCUGUCUGUGGUACCCAGGAUGGACCCAGGGCCUCGAACAUGCUAGGCAAAUGCUCUGGCCCUGAGCUGCACCCCAGGCCCUGGAUGUCUGAAGGAAGAUGAGCAAGAAUGUCAGGAAUCAAGGUGGAAUGACAAGGCCGGGCCACUCUGUCUCCUCUUCAGUAAGGCACAGAGUUUUGGGGUGCACAUUGAGAAGACAUGCCUCGAGGGGAGUUUGGAACCAGAUAUUGAAAACUUUAAAAUGUUGAGCUCCAUCCUUUAAGAAUGUUUUCUGAAAAAAAUGACCAGGGAUAUCACCGUGUUAUGCAUAAAGAUGUUCACUGCAGGUUUGCGUACAAGAGUAAAACACUUUUUAAAAUUCCGAAUGCUUAACUGGAAGGCACCAGCUUGAGAGAUUAUAUUAUAUGUUACUGGAAUUGACCAUGAAGCAGCAUUAAGACCAGGUGACUAGAGAAGACGAGGGUGUUGCAGCUGUGACAGCCACCCCGAAAAGAUGCCACAGGAAGAAGCCAGACCUAUUUGCUGUGUGACCCUAUGCAGGUCACUCAGUGUCCUUGGGCUUCCACUUCCUGCCAUAUUGAUAACAUCAAAUACUUGGAUUCAUUAUCUCUGGAGUUCUUCCCAAGGCCCAAAUUCUAUGUGUGGAUAAGAUCUCCGAGCUUCGGUGAACAUUUGGGAAAGCUAAAGUGUGCCCAGCGUGAAUUCUUGUCUCCGAGGCUCUGUGGGAUGCUGAAAGCUCUGCUCAGGCCCCUGGCUCUUACCUCUCCCUUCUCCAGAGUCCCCAGCCUCCCCAUCCAGCUGCCUGGGCACUGACAGCUCAUGGGAAAAGCCCACAGGUGCCAGACGCCCUCUGGGGUCCCUCAUCCUUUAGGAUUUUGACCCCUUGAGUGCCAGCUUGCCGGGGAGCUCUGUGAGGAUGUCUGCAGGUUUCCGGCGUUGUUAAGCAGUUUUAUCCAGGGCUGCCUGUGGUGUGAGGGGACUGGUGUUGCUUCUCAGAGGCAGAAGCCCGAACCCCUCAUAUAGCAUGCAGCGAAUGGAAGGAGGCGGACGGCAGAUGGGCUGUAUAAUGGGCUCCAUUUGUAUGCAAGACGCAUCUGGUUUGUGCAAAAAAGAAGGAGAACAACUCUCUCAAGCCAGACUUUCUUUUCUUUUUAAACAAAAAUGUAUUUUAAAAAUUUUAUGGUCUACAUACUAAGAAUAUCCACACUGGAGUUGACCUCUGAGGGCAUUUAUACCCAUUUUAUAACCUGGGAUGCUGAAGCCAACAACGUUUGAAUUUAUUUCAGUGGAACAACUAUUGCAGAUUUGCUGUGGGCAAAGAAUCAGGUGAAGGACCAUAGGGCACCCAAAGGGAUGUAACUGUAGUCGCUUAUCCCCCCAUCGCCAGGGUCUUCACCUUGUGCUGGACUCCGGGACUCGAGGAGGGAGAGGAUAGAGGUCUGCCUGGAUUGUACUCUAGUUGCUAUGAGGCCACUGGCAAAAUGGCUACAACAAAAAGUAUUCAUUCUAAGUGUUUGGUGAGGAGGUAGGAGCAAUUAAAUUCCCGUAUGCUGUCGAUGAGCUCAUAGAUGGUACAUCCGCUUCUGAAAGACACCAAUGUGCAUCUCCUACAGCCCAGAAAAUCCAGUCCUCAGAGACUUGAUACUGAGCAACAAGAUGCAUAUAUUUCACAAAGCACGUUCACAGCAACUACAACACAAAUUCUGGCUGAGGAGAAAGACACCUAAAUAAGCUAUCCCAAGUAUGAUGCAAGAAUGCCAAAGUGCCAGGCACAGUGGUGCGGGCCUACAUGUAAUCCCAGCCCUCAGGAGGCUGAGGCAGGAGGAGACCAGGCUUGGUUACAUGGUGAGUUCAAGGCCAG